This is a non-coding RNA of Triticum aestivum (bread wheat), 74 nucleotides long. NCBI's taxonomy places the organism in Eukaryota, Viridiplantae, Streptophyta, Magnoliopsida, Poales, Poaceae. The record is from Rfam.
CUGUUAUUGUUUUUCUGUGUCGGAUUCCCCUUCAGGAGGUUGAAACGAUGAUGGAAAAUCGAGUCUCUGAUGCA